RNAcentral lists this long non-coding RNA (244 nucleotides) under Homo sapiens (human). Its description in RNAcentral is "HSALNT0398489". The record is from RNAcentral. Lineage: Eukaryota; Metazoa; Chordata; Mammalia; Primates; Hominidae.
AAAAAAAAAAAAGAAAGAUACAUUGAAGUAAUUUAAAAACACUUAGGAAGAUGUCAUUUCUUCCUAUCAAGGCGUCCUCCCUUUCUGUUUUGUUGUUAUAUUGGGAACGAUAAAAAAAUUUUUUUUUCAACCCAUGUGGACCAGGUUGGCCUCGAACUCGUGCCCUCGAACCCUCGCCUACCCUGAGGGUCCGAGGGCCCGCGCAACCGGCCGGAGCCACAAUGGCUCCGGGUGUCGGGGCUGU